Molecule: long non-coding RNA, 335 nt
Organism: Mytilus californianus (California mussel)
Lineage: Eukaryota; Metazoa; Mollusca; Bivalvia; Mytilida; Mytilidae
Exons: 3
Source: RefSeq, a predicted model, not a curated record
UUAUUUACCUUGAACAUGUUGAACAUUCUUUGUACUAGAAUUAAGAUCUGAUGUCACACGACUUUGAGUAAAGAUUAGAACACUGCAAAACUGCUUGAUAAUUAUUGUUUGACAAAGACUUGAGCAAGGAAGUUUAAAAUAUAGUUAUAGUAUAUUAUCACAAAAUGGCGACAUACAGAUUGAACAAGGAACUUUUAGACAUUUCUAAAAAUCCUCCACCAGGUUGUUCAGUAGGUCCAAUUACCGAUGACACACAAACGUCCAUACGCUGGAGGGGUAUUUUUCGUACGAAUAAUGUUUCCAAGUAAUUAUCCGUUCAAACCCCCCCAAAGGUA